CCUACGGGUGGCAGCAGUGGGGAAUAUUGCACAAUGGCGGAAACCCUGAUGCAGCAACGCCGCGUGAAGGAAGACGGUUUUCGGAUUGGUAAAUUCUGUUCUUAGUGAAGAAUAAUGACGGUAUCUAACGACUAAGCACCGGCUAACUCCGUGCCCGCAGCCGCGGUACUACGGAGGGUGCACGCGUUAACCGGAAUCACUGGGCGUAAAGGGUGCGUAGGCGGGGUAAUAAGUCAGAUGUGAAAUCCUGUAGCUUAACUACAGAACUGCAGUUGAAACUGUUACUCUUGAGUGUGGGAGAGGUAGGUGGAAUGCGUGGUGUAGCGGUAAAAUCCUUAGAGAUCAAGAGGAAUUCUCAUUGCGAAGGCGACCUGCUGGAACAUUACUGACGCUGAUGCACGAAAGCGUGGGGAGCAAACAGGAUUAGAUACCCUUGUAGUC
Molecule: ribosomal RNA, 441 nt
Filed under: uncultured bacterium
Lineage: Bacteria
Description: partial 16S ribosomal RNA
Rfam family: Bacterial small subunit ribosomal RNA
Source: RNAcentral